AUUGAACGCUGGCGGCAUGCUUUACACAUGCAAGUCGAACGGUAACAGGCCGCAAGGUGCUGACGAGAGGCGAACGGGUGAGUAAUGCAUCGGAACGUGCCCAGUCGUGGGGGAUAACGCAGCGAAAGCUGUGCUAAUACCGCAUACGAUCUAUGGAUGAAAGCGGGGGACCGUAAGGCCUCGCGCGAUUGGAGCGGCCGAUGUCAGAUUAGGUAGUUGGUGGGGUAAAGGCCCACCAAGCCAACGAUCUGUAGCUGGUCUGAGAGGACGACCAGCCACACUGGGACUGAGAAACGGCCCAGACUCCUACGGGAGGCAGCAGUGGGGAAUUUUGGACAAUGGGCGCAAGCCUGAUCCAGCAAUGCCGCGUGCAGGAAGAAGGCCUUCGGGUUGUAAACUGCUUUUGUACGGAACGAAAAGGUUUGGGUUAAUACCCUGGGCCGAUGACGGUACCGUAAGAAUAAGCACCGGCUAACUACGUGCCAGCAGCCGCAGUAA
This 498-nucleotide ribosomal RNA is filed under the name uncultured bacterium. RNAcentral describes it as "partial 16S ribosomal RNA". It matches the Rfam family "Bacterial small subunit ribosomal RNA", at positions 29 to 523 of the family's 1533-position model. The record is from RNAcentral.